This 278-nucleotide long non-coding RNA is filed under the name Carica papaya (papaya). RNAcentral describes it as "long non-coding RNA (CPAP_LNC007132)". Lineage: Eukaryota; Viridiplantae; Streptophyta; Magnoliopsida; Brassicales; Caricaceae. The record is from RNAcentral.
AUAAAUAAGUUUUUGUCCAUAGGUUAUAAACACACUAAUUAUAAUAAAUUUGAGAGAAUCCUUGAAAGGUUAGACUUUUCUUCUUUUAGCAUUUUUGUUAAUUCAGCUUCUUCAAGUUCUUCGAGGAGCAUGAGUCUUCAAAAGUCUUGUUGAGCCAAUGAGCGGGAAUCAACUUAUCAGUAAGCCUAUGGCAUUUUUUCUAUUCUUAUUUAUUUUUCCAAGUCCUUGUUUUUGAAUUCUUUUUAGGAAUGUAGAUUCAAUUAGAGGGAGGGAUUUAU